Molecule: transfer RNA, 76 nt
Filed under: Bifidobacteriaceae bacterium
Lineage: Bacteria; Bacillati; Actinomycetota; Actinomycetes; Bifidobacteriales; Bifidobacteriaceae
Description: tRNA-Thr
Rfam family: tRNA
About the family: Transfer RNA (tRNA) molecules are approximately 80 nucleotides in length. Their secondary structure includes four short double-helical elements and three loops (D, anti-codon, and T loops).
Source: RNAcentral
GCCACCUUAGCUCAGUUGGUAGAGCUCCCGCCUUGUAAGCGGACGGUCGCCGGUUCGAGUCCGGCAGGUGGCUCCA